RNAcentral lists this non-coding RNA (30 nucleotides) under Cricetulus griseus (Chinese hamster). Lineage: Eukaryota; Metazoa; Chordata; Mammalia; Rodentia; Cricetidae. The record is from RNAcentral.
AGAAGUAGUUUAAUAAGAAUUUCAGCUUUG